Long non-coding RNA from Eriocheir sinensis (Chinese mitten crab), 881 nucleotides. RefSeq lists it as uncharacterized. The transcript is spliced from 3 exons. The record is from RefSeq and is a predicted model, not a curated record. Lineage: Eukaryota; Metazoa; Arthropoda; Malacostraca; Decapoda; Varunidae.
GUAUUGAAAAGAGUUACACAGAAGAAGGUAUUGAAAAGAGUAACACAGAAGAAGGUAUUGAAAAGAGUAACACAGAAGAAGGUAUUGAAAAGAGUAACACAGAAGAAGGUAUUGAAAAGAGUAACACAGAAGAAGGUAUUGAAAAGAGUAACACAGAAGAAGGUAUUGAAAAGAGUUACACAGAAGAAGGUAUUGAAAAGAGUAACACAGAAGAAGGUAUUGAAAAGAGUUACACAGAAGAAGGUAUUGAAAAGAGUAACACAGAAGAAGGUAUUGAAAAGAGUUACACAGAAGAAGGUAUUGAAAAGAGUUACACAGAAGAAGGUAUUGAAAAGAGUUACACAGAAGAAGGUAUUGAAAAAAGUUACACAGAAGAAGGUAUUGAAAAGAGUUACACAGAAGAAGGUAUUGAAAAGAGUUACACAGAAGAAGGUAUUGAAAAGAGUUACACAGAAGGAAUUUGAAAAGAGUAACACAAGAAGAAGGAAUUUGAAGAUAAAUAACACAAGAAGAAGAAAUGUGAAGUAACACCGGAAGGAAAAUGCAGAGAAGUAACACUAGAAAAAUGAAAAUGGAAAUGAAAAGAAUCAUCCACCUUUCUGCCCAAACCAACAUCACAAAAUUAUGGGCGAGUCUCUUCUGGGAGGAAAGCGGCUCGUUCAGACCCAGGAACACCAGAAAGGAUGAUAGAAACAUCAAGAAAAGGAAAACAAAAAAGUCAUCCACCUUUCGGCCCCUGGGGCCGCAGGGUGGGUGACGGGUGAAUCUCCUCUGGGGAGAAGGAGGCUAACCCACACAGUCAAGAUAGAGGAUAGACAAAGGAAAUUAAAUCAUCGAGAAAAGAAAAUUAAUUUACAAUAUCAAGAAAAUAACUAAAAAGU